This 200-nucleotide ribosomal RNA is filed under the name uncultured bacterium. Its description in RNAcentral is "partial 16S ribosomal RNA". It matches the Rfam family "Bacterial small subunit ribosomal RNA", at positions 28 to 172 of the family's 1533-position model. The record is from RNAcentral.
GAUGAAUGCUGGCGGCAUGCCUAAUACAUGCAAGUCGAGCGGUAGCAUGGCUUCACCGUUUCCUUGACACACUUGGCCUUAUGCGAGUGGAAAGAUUCGAGGGAACCGUGAAGCUGAUGACGAGCGGCGGACGGCUGAGUAACGCGUGAGAACAUACCCCAAAGUGAGGGAUAACUAGUCGAAAGAUUAGCUAAUACCGC